GGAAAUUGAAUGGGGAGCAGGAGGUGUUAUAUAUGCUUAAUCAAAAUAUUACUUUUGACUGAAUUUAUGUUAUAUAGAUUAUUUGUCGGUGUUUUGCUAAGUCUAGGUGGGUGCCAUUCAACCCAAUUCCUCCACAGAGAACGCUGCGACGUAGUUAUACUUGCCCCAAUCCAUCAGGCGACGCUCAAAUACCCUAGAAAUUCCCAUAAAAAAGAAGAAGCCUUAUUUGAUGUUUAAUCCUUGAACUUAUUAAAACAAUUAUUUAAAAGCUGAUAAGAAAUGGUCCAACUAUUAUAUAUUUAAAAUUUAAUCCGAUUUCUCAUGUGCAAAUCGAAUGAAUGAUUAAUAAGCUGAGAAUAAGAUUUGGAUAAAAGGAAUAAGAAAAAGAAAAAUGGGGUUGUGGAAAACUAAUAUGGUGAGCAAUUAUCUCAAAAGGUUUGAGUGCACGCAGAGGAGAAUAAACGUGGACGUAAGUUAUUGCAGCAAGUGGAAGGUGUGUCUGAGUUGAACUUGAACAACCGCUUGCUUCAGUUUCAGAUCACUUCAUUGGGGGGGUAUAGAGCAGCCAGCCAGCAUUGUCCUCUCCUGCUGUUGCAACCUUUGUUGACCAAAAUUAAGGGUAACCCACUGGCCCCGUAUUUUGUGGAAUACGAAAUGAUGUAGCUCCCUCCCAAACACAUUGCUACCAUUUAUAGCCCUAAAACAACUGCCAUGGGCUCAUUGAUGCUGGGUAAGGCUAAUCUUCAUUCAGUGCCGAGUUUAGCUACAUAGCUAGGAUCUUAUGGCCCAGACU
This 793-nucleotide long non-coding RNA is filed under the name Gossypium barbadense (sea-island cotton). Its description in RNAcentral is "long non-coding RNA (GBAR_LNC003952)". The record is from RNAcentral. Lineage: Eukaryota; Viridiplantae; Streptophyta; Magnoliopsida; Malvales; Malvaceae.